UGCUUAGAUAGUGACCAAUGUGAACUGAGGGCAGAGGAAGCUUCUAGAGUGUAUUGCAAUGUGAGAAGCACUGAGCAGAAGAUGAAUAUUUAUAAGUGACAAGAGUGGUCAUCAUUAUGGAAGACGCAACACGGUUGGAUUCUUCUCAACAGCCUUUACUGCAGGACACCUUCUUUGUUGAUACAGGGAGGCGGCGGCAGCCAGCCCUAAGUGUUACAGCUCCAAGUGUUACAGCUCCAAGUGUUACAGCUUUAAGUGUUACCCCGCCGAGCGGCAAAGCCGCUCGGCUUAUAUACACAACAGUAUGCUAAUCUUCUUUCAGGGAUUGGUGGGGCAUGAGUCACCCCACUGCAUCCCAGCUACUUGUCCUCCAGAGAUUGGCGAGGCAUGAACUCCCAUUUAGCAUAGUACCGCCCCAGCCAGACUGACGUCAGGUGCAAAACUCCACGCAUGCUCAGUACUGUUGUUAGGAGGGCGCCAGAUUCACCUCAUUAUCAUACAGCUGUCGCACCGCUCCCUACACUCUCCCUGUUUUU
This 536-nucleotide long non-coding RNA is filed under the name Rattus norvegicus (Norway rat). RNAcentral describes it as "long non-coding RNA NONRATT014663". Lineage: Eukaryota; Metazoa; Chordata; Mammalia; Rodentia; Muridae. The record is from RNAcentral.